UAGGGAAUCUUCGGCAAUGGACGAAAGUCUGACCGAGCAACGCCGCGUGAGUGAAGAAGGUUUUCGGAUCGUAAAACUCUGUUGUUAGAGAAGAACAAGGACGUUAGUAACUGCACGUCCCCUGACGGUAUCUAACCAGAAAGCCACGGCUAACUACGUGCCAGCAGCCGCGGUAAGACGUAGGUGGCAAGCGUUGUCCGGAUUUAUUGGGCGUAAAGCGAGCGCAGGCGGUUUCUUAAGUCUGAUGUGAAAGCCCCCGGCUCAACCGGGGAGGGUCAUUGGAAACUGGGAGACUUGAGUGCAGAAGAGGAGAGUGGAAUUCCAUGUGUAGCGGUGAAAUGCGUAGAUAUAUGGAGGAACACCAGUGGCGAAGGCGGCUCUCUGGUCUGUAACUGACGCUGAGGCUCGAAAGCGUGGGGAGCAAACAGG
RNAcentral lists this ribosomal RNA (429 nucleotides) under Gemmatimonadota bacterium. RNAcentral's name for it is "Gemmatimonadetes bacterium partial 16S ribosomal RNA". It matches the Rfam family "Bacterial small subunit ribosomal RNA", at positions 355 to 776 of the family's 1533-position model. The record is from RNAcentral. Lineage: Bacteria; Pseudomonadati; Gemmatimonadota.